RNAcentral lists this unclassified non-coding RNA (332 nucleotides) under soil metagenome. Its description in RNAcentral is "partial contains 5.8S ribosomal RNA, internal transcribed spacer 2, and large subunit ribosomal RNA". The stretch from base 1 to 120 matches the Rfam family "5.8S ribosomal RNA", at positions 35 to 154 of the family's 154-position model. The record is from RNAcentral.
GAUGAAGAACGCAGCGAAAUGCGAUAAGUAAUGUGAAUUGCAGAAUUCAGUGAAUCAUCGAAUCUUUGAACGCACAUUGCGCCCGCCAGUAUUCUGGCGGGCAUGCCUGUCUGAGCGUCAUUUCAACCCUCAAGCACAGCUUGGUGUUGGGACUCGCGUUAAUUCGCGUUCCCCAAAUUGAUUGGCGGUCACGUCGAGCUUCCAUAGCGUAGUAGUAAAACCCUCGUUACUGGUAAUCGUCGCGGCCACGCCGUUAAACCCCAACUUCUGAAUGUUGACCUCGGAUCAGGUAGGAAUACCCGCUGAACUUAAGCAUAUCAAUAAGCGGAGGA